UUUAUACUCCCUCUGUCCAACAAAUGAUGUCUCAAGUUUGUCAAAAUUUGGAUGUAUCUAGACAUGACUUAGUGUAUAGAUGCAUUCAAAUUUAAUCAAAGUUGAGACAUCCUUUGUUGGACGGAGAACGGAGGAAGUA
Brachypodium distachyon (stiff brome) is the source of this 139-nucleotide non-coding RNA. The record is from Rfam. NCBI's taxonomy places the organism in Eukaryota, Viridiplantae, Streptophyta, Magnoliopsida, Poales, Poaceae.